UACGGAGGGUGCGAGCGUUGUCCGGAAUCACUGGGCGUAAAGGGCGCGUAGGCGGCUCAUGAAGGCUGUGGUGAAAGUCCGGGGCUCAACCUCGGAUCGGCCGUGGCGACUCGUGGGCUGGAGCACUGUAGAGGCGGGUGGAAUUCCGGGUGUAGCGGUGGAAUGCGUAGAGAUCCGGAAGAACACCGGUGGCGAAGGCGGUCUGCUGGGCAGUAGCUGACACUGAGGCGCGACAGCGUGGGGAGCAAACAGG
This 253-nucleotide ribosomal RNA is filed under the name uncultured bacterium. Its description in RNAcentral is "partial 16S ribosomal RNA". It matches the Rfam family "Bacterial small subunit ribosomal RNA", at positions 524 to 776 of the family's 1533-position model. The record is from RNAcentral.